GGGCCCGUGGUAUAGUGGCAACACGCGACUAUGGCAUAGUUGAGUCCGGGGUUCGAGUCCCCGCGGGUCCACCA
Molecule: transfer RNA, 74 nt
Filed under: bacterium
Lineage: Bacteria
Description: tRNA-Ala
Rfam family: tRNA
About the family: Transfer RNA (tRNA) molecules are approximately 80 nucleotides in length. Their secondary structure includes four short double-helical elements and three loops (D, anti-codon, and T loops).
Source: RNAcentral